This 389-nucleotide ribosomal RNA is filed under the name Biecheleria sp. Its description in RNAcentral is "partial small subunit ribosomal RNA". It matches the Rfam family "Eukaryotic small subunit ribosomal RNA", at positions 582 to 975 of the family's 1831-position model. Lineage: Eukaryota; Dinophyceae; Suessiales; Biecheleriaceae. The record is from RNAcentral.
AUUCCAGCUCCAAUAGCGUAUAUUAAAGUUGUUGCGGUUAAAAAGCUCGUAGUUGGAUUUCUGCCGAGGAUGACCGGUCCGCCCUGUGGGUGUGCAUCUGGCUCAGCCUUGGCAUCUUCCUGAAGAACGUAGCUGCACUUGACUGUGUGGUGCGGUAUUUAGGACAUUUACUUUGAGGAAAUUAGAGUGUUUCAAGCAAGCGCACGCUUUGAAUACAUUAGCAUGGAAUAAUAAGAUAGGACCUCGGUUCUAUUUUGUUGGUUUCUAGAGCUGAGGUAAUGAUUGAUAGGGAUAGUCGGGGGUGCUAGUAUUGAGCGGCCAGAGGUGAAAUUCUUGGAUUCGCUCAAGACUAACUUAUGCGAAAGCAUUCACCAAGGAUGUCUUCAUCG